UAACCUAUUUUAAUUGGUAGGUAUUAAAUGUGUGUACUAAGAGUAGUUAUAAAGAAAGAUCUGUAUACAAGCAUGUGUACAGUGAGAGACAAAAGCCUUCUGAGAGAAGAAUGUUCAGGAGGCAGAGUGAAUGCUAAAGCCGCAUAACUGAGAAGCCCAGGAAAACCUCAGAAGAUACUUAUUGGAAUGAAGCCCUCUUUAUAGACAUAAGACCCCAAAGGAGCCUGGAGUGGUUUGGCAAAAAAAGAAAUCUCAAGCUUGCUGUUUAGUGGGGCUUUGCCAAGCCAACAACACUGUAAUUGCAUCUUUCCACUGGCUUACAUUACCCAUCCCCCAUCCCACCCACCUCUCCUUUCUUCCCAACAGUCUUUUGUGUGUCCUGACAAAAAUAUGCUAUUAUAAUGAAUACUGUAUGUUUACAAUAAGUUUCAGAGGAUUUGGUAGCCAAAAAGAUAAAGAUAUUUUAUUAGUAGCUUUCCAAUGGAGAUAAUAUUUGUAGA
This is a long non-coding RNA of Mus caroli (Ryukyu mouse), 500 nucleotides long. RefSeq lists it as uncharacterized. Lineage: Eukaryota; Metazoa; Chordata; Mammalia; Rodentia; Muridae. The record is from RefSeq and is a predicted model, not a curated record.